UACGAGAGGCCCAAACGUUAUUCGGAUUUACUGGGCUUAAAGAGUUCGUAGGCCGCGCAGUAAGUAGGGUGUGAAAGCCCUCGGCUCAACCGAGGAAUUGCGCUCUAAACUACUGUGCUUGAGGAACCUAGAGGUGAGCAGAACUGAUGGUGGAGCGGUGAAAUGCGUUGAUAUCAUCAGGAAUACCGGAGGCGAAGGCGGCUCACUGGGGGUUUUCUGACGCUGAGGAACGAAAGCCAGGGGAGCGAACGGG
Molecule: ribosomal RNA, 253 nt
Filed under: uncultured bacterium
Lineage: Bacteria
Description: partial 16S ribosomal RNA
Rfam family: Bacterial small subunit ribosomal RNA
Source: RNAcentral